CAUUCUCCACUCCAUUGCAAACCCGAACAGUACUGUCGCGAUUUGAAUAUCGUGCUGCUUUUCAAAUUCAAGUGAAAGGGCAGCUACUCUUCGGAUUGUGGUCGCUUUUACACUGCCUGUUAGUGUACCAUGGCUUCUAAGCCCCAUCCUCCUUUGAUGAAGAAACACAGUCAGUCAGACCUGGUGAGCCGGCUGAAGACCAGGAAAAUACUUGGGGUUGGAGGAGAGGAUGACGAUGGAGAGGUGCAUAGGUCAAAGCUUCCCAGGCUACCACCGCAGAAGGAAUGCUGUGAGACAAAAUCAGCUUUCCCAAAGGCAAAGAAGGGGGAAUAUGCUGUGAAGACAGACCCAAGAUGCUGUAAAUCAUAGUUAGUUAUUAAUUUAAAAUCUGCAUCAAUUGAGCAUUUCAGGCACACAAACAUUUCCAAAUUGUCACGCCCUGGUUGAAGUAUUUUGUGUUUAUUUUCAUUUAUUUGGUCAGGCCAGGGUGUGGCAUGGGUUUUUGUAUGUGGUGUGUUGGGAUUGUAGCUUAGUGGGGUGUUCUAUUGAAGUCUAUGGCUGUCUGAAGUGGUUCUCAAUCAGAGGCAGGUGUUUAUCGUUGUCUCUGAUUGGGAACCAUAUUUAGGCAGCCAUAUUCUUUGGGUGUGUUGUGGGUGACUGUCCUUAGUAUCAUGAUGUCCUUGUAACUGUCUAGUGUUAGUUUGCACCAGUUUAGGCUGUUUCGGUUUUUACAUUACGUUUAUUGUUUUUGUAUUGAUUCGUGUUUACUUUGUUUUUAUUAAACAUGAAUCUCAA
Oncorhynchus mykiss (rainbow trout) is the source of this 795-nucleotide non-coding RNA. The record is from RefSeq and is a predicted model, not a curated record. NCBI's taxonomy places the organism in Eukaryota, Metazoa, Chordata, Actinopteri, Salmoniformes, Salmonidae.